This 40-nucleotide ribosomal RNA is filed under the name uncultured Glomeromycotina. RNAcentral's name for it is "partial 5.8S ribosomal RNA". The record is from RNAcentral. Lineage: Eukaryota; Fungi; Glomeromycota.
CAAACUUGGNCAUUUAGAGGAAGUAAAAGUCGUAACAAGG